AUGAGCAAUAAAUCAUUACUGAUAUUUAACUAUAUGGCUAACUAUAAGAGGUUGCAUAUCGAAUUAUUGAAUUGAAUAACAAACUUAUAUUAAAAGGCAGAAAAAGAAGUGGUAUGGGAACAAUUGACAAAUUAUAACAUUUAUUAUUACUUCCUACAUUUCGUUAUUCAUUUUCCAUACGAGAAAUAAUGUGAAUAUGCACAUAACUGUACACUGGAUGAUACUACAGUAACUAUAUCAAACUAGUAAAAUAGGGAACACGGAAAAGCUUCAGCAAGUCCAUAGGUUCUGUAGCUGAGAGC
This 302-nucleotide small RNA is filed under the name Histoplasma capsulatum. Its description in RNAcentral is "hypothetical RNA". Lineage: Eukaryota; Fungi; Ascomycota; Eurotiomycetes; Onygenales; Ajellomycetaceae. The record is from RNAcentral. RNAcentral also lists the same sequence under 1 other name.